CGAUCCUACGGGAGGCAGCAGUAGGGAAUCUUCCACAAUGGGCGAAAGCCUGAUGGAGCAACGCCGCGUGGGUGAAGAAGGUCUUCGGAUCGUAAAACCCUGUUGUUAGAGAAGAAAGUGCGUGAGAGUAACUGUUCACGUUUCGACGGUAUCUAACCAGAAAGCCACGGCUAACUACGUGCCAGCAGCCGCGGUAAUACGUAGGUGGCAAGCGUUAUCCGGAUUUAUUGGGCGUAAAGGGUGCGUAGAUGGUUGAUAUAAGUCUUUUGUAAAAAUGCUAGGCUCAACCUAGUAGGGCAAAAGAU
RNAcentral lists this ribosomal RNA (305 nucleotides) under uncultured bacterium. Its description in RNAcentral is "bacterial SSU rRNA". It matches the Rfam family "Bacterial small subunit ribosomal RNA", at positions 334 to 631 of the family's 1533-position model. The record is from RNAcentral.